RNAcentral lists this long non-coding RNA (1324 nucleotides) under Gallus gallus (chicken). Its description in RNAcentral is "lncRNA (ENSGALG00010022106.1)". The record is from RNAcentral. Lineage: Eukaryota; Metazoa; Chordata; Aves; Galliformes; Phasianidae.
CACACGGCGGCAGCGCGCUGAGCAUGGCGGGUUUUUGUUGUUUGCUUCGGCCUCGUAAAGCGAUUCGAUAAGUGAUUGCUGGGGACACUGGAGGGCACUGAAGUUUAUAGAAAGAGGAACGCCAUAAUGAAGCUUUAUUGGGAUGGCAUCACCAAACAAUUGCUGUGAUAGCAACACUCCUGAGCCUGGAAAAAUGCCAAACAUUCCCCCUGGAACUGACUCAGGCAGUAGCCUCUCUGGCUCAGGACUAAGGCAGAAAAUGGAUGCUUUCUGGUUCAUAAAAUGGCCUCUUUCCAGCUUGGAAAUGACUGAGGAACUGUCCAGUUGAUUUGGAAAGCGCUCGGGAAAUGGCCUUUCUCCAUCAGCAACUUCAGAACUCAUCUGUUCUGCUUUGGAUUAUGGCUUGGAACUACAAGAGUGGUUUUUUCUUCUUUUUACUUCUUUUUGUUUCCUUCCAAGUUGACUGGGACUACUCAGAAAAGUUUGUGGAUUUUUUUUUUUCCUAUGAAAAACACAAAACAACGACAACCAAAAAAAUAACUCUACCCAAUAGCAGAGGUUGUAGAGGACUUCUGUAGGAAUUUAAGCAGAAAAGAUUAUUUCCCAUCUCAAAGAUCAAACCCGGUUGAGAGAGUAUCUAAAAAAUCAUUCCCCCCUCUGCUGCUGGAUAGGAAUAGUGUCCCACCCCCAUGUCUGCACAUGGGGCUGCUUUUCCACCCCCACCCCUCAGCAGAUGAACCUGGGGGACAAAUCAUUGGGUAUCUAUCUAUACCUCACGCAGAAACAAUAGCAUCAAAGAACAGUAGUAACAAUCCAAGCUUAAUCACUUCCAAACUUAAGAAAAAAAAAAAUCAUCGUAGUUGAAUGGAAGUGACAAAUUCUUGACUCAAGCAUCCCAACACUACAGUGAGUUGUGAACCCAAACUGGGCCCUGCACACCAUCCACAGGAUCAGCUGCUGCAUCAGUUACGAGCCAGUGGUGCAGGAAGGUGCUCCGCACCACCUCAUGCAGAUUCCCAACUUUUUUCUUCCCUGUUGUAAUUCUGCCUUAGAUUCAGUGCUGUGCUCCCUGCAUAUGACAGCCGUGUUUCUCUCAGUUACGACCGUUGGACAAUUAAUGUUACUUUGAGGGUCACUUAACAGCAUCAUCUGUGUGGGGAAAAAUGUAAUCCCAGAUUAGUGCAUAGAUGGCUUCUAGAUCUACACCAAGGAAAAGGGACAUUAUUUUGCCAGAACUAAAUGGAAAUGCUUAAUUUUACAUGAUGUUGUCAUUUGUCCUCUGCAAUUCCAGUUCAUUGGGACCUCAGAUUAGAAAAUUAUUUUG